Molecule: transfer RNA, 66 nt
Filed under: Lethe hayashii
Lineage: Eukaryota; Metazoa; Arthropoda; Insecta; Lepidoptera; Nymphalidae
Description: tRNA-Asn
Source: RNAcentral
UUAAUUGAAACCAAAAUAGAGGUAUAUCACUGUUAAUGAUAAAAUUGAACUACAGCUCCAAUUGAA